AUUGAACGCUGGCGGCAGGCCUAACACAUGCAAGUCGAACGGUAACAGGAAGAAGCUUGCUUCUUUGCUGACGAGUGGCGGACGGGUGAGUAAUGUCUGGGAAACUGCCUGAUGGAGGGGGAUAACUACUGGAAACGGUAGCUAAUACCGCAUAACGUCGCAAGACCAAAGAGGGGGACCUUCGGGCCUCUUGCCAUCGGAUGUGCCCAGAUGGGAUUAGCUAGUAGGUGGGGUAACGGCUCACCUAGGCGACGAUCCCUAGCUGGUCUGAGAGGAUGACCAGCCACACUGGAACUGAGACGCGGUCCAGACUCCUACGGGAGGCAGCAGUGGGGAAUAUUGCACAAUGGGCGCAAGCCUGAUGCAGCCAUGCCGCGUGUAUGAAGAAGGCCUUCGGGUUGUAAAGUACUUUCAGCGGGGAGGAAGGGAGUAAAGUUAAUACCUUUGCUCAUUGACGUUACCCGCAGAAGAAGCACCGGCUAACUCCGU
This 489-nucleotide ribosomal RNA is filed under the name uncultured bacterium. RNAcentral describes it as "partial 16S ribosomal RNA". It matches the Rfam family "Bacterial small subunit ribosomal RNA", at positions 30 to 506 of the family's 1533-position model. The record is from RNAcentral.